UGGGGAAUAUUGCACAAUGGGCGCAAGCCUGAUGCAGCCAUGCCGCGUGUGUGAAGAAGGCCUUCGGGUUGUAAAGCACUUUCAGCGAGGAGGAAGGUGGUGAGCUUAAUACGCUCAUCAAUUGACGUUACUCGCAGAAGAAGCACCGGCUAACUCCGUGCCAGCAGCCGCGGUAAUACGGAGGGUGCAAGCGUUAAUCGGAAUUACUGGGCGUAAAGCGCACGCAGGCGGUUUGUUAAGUCAGAUGUGAAAUCCCCGGGCUCAACCUGGGAACUGCAUUUGAAACUGGCAAGCUAGAGUCUCGUAGAGGGGGGUAGAAUUCCAGGUGUAGCGGUGAAAUGCGUAGAGAUCUGGAGGAAUACCGGUGGCGAAGGCGGCCCCCUGGACGAAGACUGACGCUCAGGUGCGAAAGCGUGGGGCAGCAAACAGGAUUAGAUACCCUGGUGUCCACGCUGUAAACGAUGUCGAUUUGGAGGUUGUGCCCUUGAGGCGUGGCUUCCGGAGCUAACGCGUUAAAUCGACCGCCUGGGGAGUACGGCCGCAAGGUUAAAACUUAAAUGAAUUGACGGGUCUAGCUGUUCC
RNAcentral lists this ribosomal RNA (582 nucleotides) under uncultured bacterium. Its description in RNAcentral is "partial 16S ribosomal RNA". It matches the Rfam family "Bacterial small subunit ribosomal RNA", at positions 355 to 936 of the family's 1533-position model. The record is from RNAcentral.